Pocillopora damicornis (cauliflower coral) is the source of this 351-nucleotide long non-coding RNA. RefSeq lists it as uncharacterized. The record is from RefSeq and is a predicted model, not a curated record. NCBI's taxonomy places the organism in Eukaryota, Metazoa, Cnidaria, Anthozoa, Scleractinia, Pocilloporidae.
GAAAAUAAGGCCUAUAUCACCCUUAAUACAAGGUGCCAUAGAAAAUUAAGUGUAUCGUCAUGAAGAUCAGCUCCUUUUUCUUGCUCUUUCUAUUCCUGAACGUGAGUUUUGCAACAGAAGAAACUGAAAAUGGCUCACGCAGGAGUGAACGCAGUGCAGGCUGCUUUGAUCAGUGGGGUUCCUACUGUGAACGAUGGGAAGGGAUGUGUCACCAUGGUUACGUGUUAGAGGGGUGCAAAAAGUUUUGUGGCAUUUGUUGAUCAAAGAGCAAUGAACCUACCAUCAAAUCACAGUAUUUUAGAGAACGCAUCAAACCCAAUGAGGUGUCAACAUUAUGCAGUUGAUCGAUGU